Molecule: non-coding RNA, 582 nt
Organism: Castor canadensis (American beaver)
Lineage: Eukaryota; Metazoa; Chordata; Mammalia; Rodentia; Castoridae
Source: RefSeq, a predicted model, not a curated record
AUGUGUAGGCCAGUUUACAUCUGCCUGGUCACUUUUCCCUACCUCUGGGGCUCUAUGGUAGGAACAAUGCAGGUAAUAUUGACUUCUCGCUUGUCCUUUUGUGGACCUAACACCAUCAACCAUUUCUACUGUGCUGACCCACCGCUGUUAAUGCUGACAUGUUCUGACACUUACAUAAAGCAAAGCGCCCUGUUUGUUUCCGCAGGGAUCAAUCUCAUAGGUUCCCUGCUCAUUACCCUCACCUCCUAUAUUUUCAUCUUCAUCACCAUUUUGAGGAUCCGUUCCAGUGAAGGACAACGCAAAGCCUUCUCCACCUGUGGCUCUCACCUGACAGCAGUCGCUAUGUUUUAUGGCUCCCUCUUCUGUAUGUAUCUGAGACCAGCAAAUUAGCAGUCUGUUGAGCAAGGGAAAAUUGUGUCAGUGUUUUGUAUUUUUGUGAGUCCCAUGCUGAAUCCAUUCAUCUACAGCCUGAGAAACAAUGAUGUAAAACAGGCUUUGAGAAAACUGUUUAUGACCAACCUUGGUAAAAUGGAGAAAAAUUCAAUGCCUACAGUCUCCAAUAGAAAUGUCUUUAAAAAUUAA